UAAGGAAUAUUGCUCAAUGGGAGAAAUCCUGAAGCAGCAACGCCGCGUGGAGGAUGAAGGGUCUAUGACUUGUAAGCUCCUGUAAAGAAGGAAAAAAUUCCCAUUUGAUGGGAGAUGAUGGUACUUCUGGAGUAAGCCCCGGCUAACUACGUGCCAGCAGCCGCGGUAAUACGUAGGGGGCAAGCGUUGUCCGGAUUUACUGGGUGUAAAGGGUGCUCAGGCGGAUUUGUAAGUCAGAGGUGAAAUCUUACAGCUUAACUGUGAAACUGCCUUUGAUACUGCAAGCCUAGAGUAUGGAAGAGAGUGAUGGAAUAUCUGGUGUAGCAGUGAAAUGCGUAGAUAUCAGAUAGAACACCAAUGGCGAAGGCAGUCACUUGGUCCAUUACUGACGCUAAAGCACGAAAGCGUGGGUAGCAAACA
Molecule: ribosomal RNA, 420 nt
Filed under: uncultured bacterium
Lineage: Bacteria
Description: bacterial SSU rRNA
Rfam family: Bacterial small subunit ribosomal RNA
Source: RNAcentral